GCUCGCUUCGGCGACCCAUACACUGAAACAGGAGCCAUACAGAGACGACUAGCACGGCCCUAUGCAAGGAUGGCAUGUGGAUUCACUAAGCGUUCCGUAUUUAA
This is a small nuclear RNA of Pipistrellus kuhlii (Kuhl's pipistrelle), 104 nucleotides long. NCBI's taxonomy places the organism in Eukaryota, Metazoa, Chordata, Mammalia, Chiroptera, Vespertilionidae. The record is from RefSeq and is a predicted model, not a curated record.